UACGAACUGUGCGAACGUUAUUCGGAAUCACUGGGCUUACAGGGUGCGUAGGCGGCUUGUUAAGUAGGGUGUGAAAGCCCCCGGCUCAACCGGGGAAUUGCGCCCUAAACUGGCGAGCUGGAGUGAGAUAGGGGUGUGUGGAACUUCCGGUGGAGCGGUGAAAUGUGUUGAUAUCGGAAGGAACGCCGGUGGCGAAAGCGACACACUGGAUCUUGUCUGACGCUGAGGCACGAAAGCUAGGGGAGCAAACAGG
Molecule: ribosomal RNA, 253 nt
Filed under: uncultured bacterium
Lineage: Bacteria
Description: partial 16S ribosomal RNA
Rfam family: Bacterial small subunit ribosomal RNA
Source: RNAcentral